Long non-coding RNA from Pecten maximus, 1841 nucleotides. RefSeq lists it as uncharacterized. NCBI's taxonomy places the organism in Eukaryota, Metazoa, Mollusca, Bivalvia, Pectinida, Pectinidae. The transcript has 4 exons. The record is from RefSeq and is a predicted model, not a curated record.
GCUGGAAUGACUCGGAAGUUUCUUUAAUGUGCAUAAUCCUGAUAUAAAAAUCAAUCCCAAACACAAUCACACAUGUAGACAGAAACUGGUAUUUAGCAUUUGAAAAGUAUGAUGAUUAUGAAUAUGAUUUAUUUCCAUCUUUUAAGUAUUCCAAAUACUUUUCCUGUAACUUAAAAAGAGACUAGUUGAUUGGUAUGUGAUGUUUAAUAUAGAUCCUCCCAUACUACAGCUUUUGUCAUUACAUCACAUUCUAGAUUUACCCAACACGCACACUAUCACCUGAUUUUCAUUAGGAUUAAUAGGUCUGUCACUUGUCUUCUGUCGGUAAGAUACUGUAGGAGUUCAGUACAUUUCCACCAGGAUUAACAGGUCUGUCGGUAAGUUACUGUAGGAGUUCAGUACAUUUCCACCAGGAUUAACAGGUCUGUCGGUAAGUUACUGUAGGAGUUCAGUACAUUUCCACCAGGAUUAACAGGACUGUCACUUGUCUUCUGUCGGUAAGUUACUGUAGGAGUUCAGUACAUUUCCAUCAGGAUUAACAGGACUGUCGGUAAGUUACUGUAGGAGUUCAGUACAUUUCCACCAGGAUUAACAGGACUGUCGGUAAGAUACUGUAGGAGUCCAGUACAUUUCCACCAGGAUUAACAGGACUGUCAGUAAGUUACUGUAGGAUUUCAGUACAUUUCCACCAGGAUUAACAGGACUGUCGGUAAGUUACUGUAGGAGUUCAGUACAUUUCCACCAGGAUUAACAGGACUGUCGGUAAGUUACUGUAGGAGUUCAGUACAUUUCCAUCAGGAUUAACAGGACUGUCGGUAAGUUACUGUAGGAGUUCAGUACAUUUCCACCAGGAUUAACAGGACUGUCGGUAAGUUACUGUAGGAGUUCAGUACAUUUCCACCAGGAUUAACAGGUCUGUCGGUAAGUUACUGUAGGAGUUCAGUACAUUUCCAUCAGGAUUAACAGGUCUGUGGGUAAGUUACUGUAGGAGUUCAGUACAUUUCCAUCAGGAUUAACAGGACUGUCAGUAAGUUACUAUAGGAGUUCAGUACAUUUCCACCAGGAUUAACAGGACUGUUGGUAAGUUACUGUAGGAGUUCAGUACAUUUCCACCAGGAUUAACAGGACUGUCGGUAAGUUACUGUAGGAGUUCAGUACAUUUCCAUCAGGAUUAACAGGACUGUCGGUAAGUUACUGUAGGAGUUCAGUACAUUUCCACCAGGAUUAACAGGACUGUCAGUAAGUUACUAUAGGAGUUCAGUACAUUUCCACCAGGAUUAACAGGACUGUCGGUAAGUUACUGUAGGAGUUCAGUACAUUUCCACCAGGAUUAACAGGACUGUCGGUAAGUUACUAUAGGAGUUCAGUACAUUUCCACCAGGAUUAACAGGACUGUCGGUAAGUUACUGUAGGAGUUCAGUACAUUUCCACCAGGAUUAACAGGACUGUUGGUAAGUUACUGUAGGUGUUCAGUACAUUUCCACCAGGAUUAACAGGACUGUCGGUAAGUUACUGUAGGAGUUCAGUACAUUUCCACCAGGAUUAACAGGACUGUCGGUAAGUUACUGUAGGAGUUCAGUACAUUUCCAUCAGGAUUAACAGGACUGUCGGUAAGUUACUGUAGGAGUUCAGUACAUUUCCACCAGGAUUAACAGGACUGUCGGUAAGUUACUGUAGGAUUUCAGUACAUUUCCACCAGGAUUAACAGGACUGUCACUUGUCUUCUGUCAGUAAGUUACUGUAGGAGUUCAGUACAUUUCCAUCAGGAUUAACAGGACUGUCACUUGUCUUCUGUCAGUAAGUUACUGUAGGAGUUCAGUACAUUUCCACCAGGAUUAACA